RNAcentral lists this unclassified non-coding RNA (393 nucleotides) under soil metagenome. RNAcentral describes it as "partial contains 5.8S ribosomal RNA, internal transcribed spacer 2, and large subunit ribosomal RNA". The stretch from base 1 to 122 matches the Rfam family "5.8S ribosomal RNA", at positions 35 to 154 of the family's 154-position model. The record is from RNAcentral.
GAUGAAGAACGCAGCGAAAUGCGAUACUUGGUGUGAAUUGCAGAAUCCCGUGAACCAUCGAGUCUUUGAACGCAAGUUGCGCCCGAAGCCACUAGGCCGAGGGCACGCCUGCCUGGGCGUCACACGUCGUUGCCCCCCCCCCAUCUACUCCUUCGGGAUUGCGGGGGGCGGAUGAUGGCCUCCCGUGCGCCUAGCCGCGCGGUUGGCAUAAAUACCAAGUCCUCGGCGACGCACGCCACGACAAUCGGUGGUUGCGAAACCUCGGUUGACCGUCGUGUGCGUUCGUCGCGCAUCGAGGGCUCGAAAAAAUGCUCGGCUCCGGCUCGGCUUUCAACGCGACCCCAGAUCAGGCGGGGAUACCCGCUGAAUUUAAGCAUAUCAAUAAGCGGAGGA